GGCGCUAUAGCCAAGUGGUUACGGCGACAGAUUAGAAUCAUAUAAAAUUGGUCAUCUGUUUCCCUUUGGGAGCGCAGGUUCGAGUCCUGCUGGCGUCG
Russula compacta is the source of this 98-nucleotide non-coding RNA. NCBI's taxonomy places the organism in Eukaryota, Fungi, Basidiomycota, Agaricomycetes, Russulales, Russulaceae. The record is from the annotation of a GenBank genome assembly.